RNAcentral lists this ribosomal RNA (480 nucleotides) under uncultured organism. RNAcentral describes it as "bacterial SSU rRNA". It matches the Rfam family "Bacterial small subunit ribosomal RNA", at positions 28 to 507 of the family's 1533-position model. The record is from RNAcentral.
GACGAACGCUGGCGGCGUGCUUAACACAUGCAAGUCGAACGAGAAUCUGUGGAACGAGGAUUCGUCCAAGUGAAGCAGAGGACAGUGGCGGACGGGUGAGUAACGCGUGAGGAACCUGCCUUUCAGAGGGGGACAACAGUUGGAAACGACUGCUAAUACCGCAUGACACAUAGAUGUCGCAUGGCAUUUAUGUCAAAGAUUUAUCGCUGAAAGAUGGCCUCGCGUCUGAUUAGCUAGUUGGUGAGGUAACGGCCCACCAAGGCGACGAUCAGUAGCCGGACUGAGAGGUUGAACGGCCACAUUGGGACUGAGAUACGGCCCAGACUCCUACGGGAGGCAGCAGUGGGGAAUAUUGGGCAAUGGGCGCAAGCCUGACCCAGCAACGCCGCGUGAAGGAAGAAGGCUUUCGGGUUGUAAACUUCUUUUGUCAGGGACGAGUAGAAGACGGUACCUGACGAAUAAGCCACGGCUAACUACGUG